RNAcentral lists this ribosomal RNA (492 nucleotides) under uncultured bacterium. RNAcentral describes it as "partial 16S ribosomal RNA". It matches the Rfam family "Bacterial small subunit ribosomal RNA", at positions 29 to 507 of the family's 1533-position model. The record is from RNAcentral.
AGUGAACGCUGGCGGUAGGCCUAACACAUGCAAGUCGAACGGCAGCACAGUAAGAGCUUGCUCUUACGGGUGGCGAGUGGCGGACGGGUGAGGAAUACAUCGGAAUCUACUUUUUCGUGGGGGAUAACGUAGGGAAACUUACGCUAAUACCGCAUACGACCUACGGGUGAAAUCAGGGGAUCUUCGGACCUUGCGCGAUUGAAUGAGCCGAUGUCGGAUUAGCUAGUUGGCGGGGUAAAGGCCCACCAAGGCGACGAUCCGUAGCUGGUCUGAGAGGAUGAUCAGCCACACUGGAACUGAGACACGGUCCAGACUCCUACGGGAGGCAGCAGUGGGGAAUAUUGGGCAAUGGGCGCAAGCCUGAUCCAGCCAUACCGCGUGGGUGAAGAAGGCCUUCGGGUUGUAAAGCCCUGUUGUUGGGAAAGAAAAGCAGCAGGUUAAUACCCCGCUGUUCUGACGGUACCCAAAGAAUAAGCACCGGCUAACUUCGUG